CAAUAGCGUAUAUUUAAGUUGUUGCAGUUAAAAAGCUCGUAGUCGGAUUUUGGCUGAGAACGAUCGGUCCGCCGUUAGGUGUGCACUGAUUGGUCUCAGCUUCCUGGUGAGGAGGUGUGCUUCACGGCCACUUAGUCACCGUGGUUACUUAGAAAAAAUUAGAGUGUUCAAAGCGGGCUUACGCUUGAAUAUAUUAGCAUGGAAUAACACCAUAGGACUCCUGUCCUAUUUCGUUGGUCUCGGGACGGGAGUAAUGAUUAAGAGGAACAGUUGGGGGCAUUCGUAUUUCAUUGUCAGAGGUGAAAUUCUUGGAUUUAUGAAAGACGAACUUCUGCGAAAGCAUUUGCCAAGGAUGUUUUCAUUGA
Molecule: ribosomal RNA, 365 nt
Filed under: uncultured eukaryote
Lineage: Eukaryota
Description: partial 18S ribosomal RNA
Rfam family: Eukaryotic small subunit ribosomal RNA
Source: RNAcentral